Molecule: non-coding RNA, 406 nt
Organism: Chelmon rostratus (copperband butterflyfish)
Lineage: Eukaryota; Metazoa; Chordata; Actinopteri; Chaetodontiformes; Chaetodontidae
Source: the annotation of a RefSeq genome assembly
CCUCAUCAAAAACAUGACUCUGAUCGGCGUCCUCAUCUGGACUCUCCUCUGCUUCACUCAGGGGUCUGUUGGACAAGAUGUGGUCUUGACUCAACCAGCAGCCAAAACAGUGCAGCUGGGUCAAACUGUUUCUAUUGACUGUAAAGCCAAUAGAAAAGUUGUCCAAUACUCUGGUUCACAGUACUUCCUGGCCUGGUACCAUCAGAAAACUGGAGAAGCUCACAAACUUCUGAUCUACCAAACAUCAGAUCGAUUUUCUGGAAUUUCCUCCAGACUGAGUGGAAGUGGAGCAGGAAAUGGAGUUGACUUCACUCUGACCAUCAGUGGAGUCCAGACUGAAGAUGCAGCAGUUUACUACUGUCAGAGUGUUCAUCUUAUCAACAGUCAGGUUGUGUUCACACAGUGA